GAUGAACGCUGGCGGCGUGCCUAAUACAUGCAAGUCGAGCGAACGGACGAGAAGCUUGCUUCUCUGAUGUUAGCGGCGGACGGGUGAGUACACGUGGAUAACCUACCUAUAAGACUGGGAUAACUUCGGGAAACCGGAGCUAAUACCGGAUAAUAUUUUGAACCGCAUGGUUCAAAAGUGAAAGACGGUCUUGCUGUCACUUAUAGAUGGAUCCGCGCUGCAUUAGCUAGUUGGUAAGGUAACGGCUUACCAAGGCAACGAUGCAUAGCCGACCUGAGAGGGUGAUCGGCCACACUGGAACUGAGACACGGUCCAGACUCCUACGGGAGGCAGCAGUAGGGAAUCUUCCGCAAUGGGCGAAAGCCUGACGGAGCAACGCCGCGUGAGUGAUGAAGGUCUUCGGAUCGUAAAACUCUGUUAUUAGGGAAGAACAUCUGUGUAAGUAACUGUGCACAUCUUGACGGUACCUAAUCAGAAAGCCACGGCUAACUACGUG
Molecule: ribosomal RNA, 496 nt
Filed under: uncultured bacterium
Lineage: Bacteria
Description: partial 16S ribosomal RNA
Rfam family: Bacterial small subunit ribosomal RNA
Source: RNAcentral